GGAUCACGAGGGGGAGACCCCGGCAACCUGGGACGGACACCCAAGGUGCUCACACCGGAGACGGUGGAUCCGGCCCGAGAGGGCAACGAAGGUCCGA
Molecule: non-coding RNA, 97 nt
Submitted as: synthetic construct
Source: Rfam